UAACUGAAGAGUUUGAUCAUGGCUCAGAUUGAACGCUGGCGGCAGGCUUAACACAUGCAAGUCGAGCGGGGGAAGGUAGCUUGCUACUGGACCUAGCGGCGGACGGGUGAGUAAUGCUUAGGAAUCUGCCUAUUAGUGGGGGACAACAUCUCGAAAGGGAUGCUAAUACCGCAUAC
This 176-nucleotide ribosomal RNA is filed under the name Acinetobacter baumannii. RNAcentral's name for it is "partial 16S ribosomal RNA". It matches the Rfam family "Bacterial small subunit ribosomal RNA", at positions 1 to 176 of the family's 1533-position model. Lineage: Bacteria; Pseudomonadati; Pseudomonadota; Gammaproteobacteria; Moraxellales; Moraxellaceae. The record is from RNAcentral.